AGGGAAUCUUCCACAAUGGACGAAAGUCUGAUGGAGCAACGCCGCGUGAGUGAUGAAGGGUUUCGGCUCGUAAAACUCUGUUGUUGGAGAAGAACAGGUGAUAGAGUAACUGUUAUCAUCUUGACGGUAUCCAACCAGAAAGCCACGGCUAACUACGUGCCAGCAGCCGCGGUAAUACGUAGGUGGCAAGCGUUGUCCGGAUUUAUUGGGCGUAAAGCGAGCGCAGGCGGUUUUUUAGGUCUGAUGUGAAAGCCUUCGGCUUAACCGGAGAAGGGCAUCGGAAACCGGGAGACUUGAGUGCAGAAGAGGACAGUGGAACUCCAUGUGUAGCGGUGAAAUGCGUAGAUAUAUGGAAGAACACCAGUGGCGAAGGCGGCUGUCUGGUCUGUAACUGACGCUGAGGCUCGAAAGCAUGGGUAGCGAACAGGAUUAGAUACCCUGGUAGUCCAUGCCGUAAACGAUGAGUGCUAAGUGUUGGAGGGUUUCCGCCCUUCAGUGCUGCAGCUAACGCAUUAAGCACUCCGCCUGGGGAGUACGACCGCAAGGUUGAA
RNAcentral lists this ribosomal RNA (551 nucleotides) under uncultured bacterium. Its description in RNAcentral is "partial 16S ribosomal RNA". It matches the Rfam family "Bacterial small subunit ribosomal RNA", at positions 356 to 898 of the family's 1533-position model. The record is from RNAcentral.